RNAcentral lists this non-coding RNA (176 nucleotides) under Anaerolineaceae bacterium. RNAcentral's name for it is "6S RNA". It matches the Rfam family "6S / SsrS RNA". From Rfam's summary of the family: E. coli 6S RNA was the first non coding RNA to be sequenced, but its function was unknown until recently. The record is from RNAcentral. Lineage: Bacteria; Bacillati; Chloroflexota; Anaerolineae; Anaerolineales; Anaerolineaceae.
CCGGGCCUGCCCUGUGCGUGAUGGCGCCAUGACGUUUUGGGCCAACACCAGAUCGAACGGGCGCAGGAUGGAAACGGAGAGUUCCUGACCUGGUCGGGAGCGAAGCGUGGCCGAUGGCGCCCGCCCUGCGAAUGCAGGUUCAAGGCAGUGCGCACACACGGCCGGGUGGGCCCGUU